ACGAACGCUGGCGGCGCGCCUAACACAUGCAAGUCGAACGAGCGAGAGAGAGCUUGCUUUCUCGAGCGAGUGGCGAACGGGUGAGUAACGCGUGAGGAACCUGCCUCAAAGAGGGGGACAACAGUUGGAAACGACUGCUAAUACCGCAUAAGCCCACGACCCGGCAUCGGGUAGAGGGAAAAGGAGCAAUCCGCUUUGAGAUGGCCUCGCGUCCGAUUAGCUAGUUGGUGAGGUAACGGCCCACCAAGGCGACGAUCGGUAGCCGGACUGAGAGGUUGAACGGCCACAUUGGGAUUGAGACACGGCCCAGACUCCUACGGGAGGCAGCAGUGGGGAAUAUUGCACAAUGGGGGAAACCCUGAUGCAGCGACGCCGCGUGGAGGAAGAAGGUCUUCGGAUUGUAAACUCCUGUUGUUGAGGAAGAUAAUGACGGUACUCAACAAGGAAGUGACGGCUAACUACGUG
This 465-nucleotide ribosomal RNA is filed under the name uncultured bacterium. RNAcentral describes it as "partial 16S ribosomal RNA". It matches the Rfam family "Bacterial small subunit ribosomal RNA", at positions 29 to 507 of the family's 1533-position model. The record is from RNAcentral.